GUACUCUGACCGUGCGAAGGUAGCAUAAUCACUUGUUCUUUAAAUGGGGACUUGUAUCAACGGCAUCACGAGGGCCAUACUGUCUCCUUUUUCCAAUCAGUGAAACUGAUCUUCCCGUGAAGAAGCGGGAAUUAACCUAUAAGACGAGAAGACCCCAUGGAGCUUUAAACCCAACAACAAGUCUAAUAAUACACCCUAAAAUUAAUGACACCUGCUGUUGGUUUUAGGUUGGGGUGACCGCGGAGUAUAAACUAACCUCCACGACGAACGGGACUAAACCCUUAUCUACGAGCCACCGCUCUAAGAAUCAGCACACUGACUUCUAAUGAUCCGAUAUUCGAUCAACGAACCAAGUUACCCUGGGGAUAACAGCGCUAUCCAUUUCAAGAGCUCCUAUCGACAAAUGGGUUUACGACCUCGAUGUUGGAUCAGGGUAUCCUAGUGGUGCAGCCGCUACUAAAGGUUUGUUUGUUCAACAAUUAAACCCUACGUGA
Molecule: ribosomal RNA, 494 nt
Filed under: Indirana brachytarsus (Anamallais Indian frog)
Lineage: Eukaryota; Metazoa; Chordata; Amphibia; Anura; Ranixalidae
Description: partial 16S ribosomal RNA
Rfam family: Bacterial large subunit ribosomal RNA
Source: RNAcentral